GACGAACGCUGGCGGCGUGCUUAACACAUGCAAGUCGAACGGAAAGGCCCUGCUUGCAGGGUACUCGAGUGGCGAACGGGUGAGUAACACGUGGGUGAUCUGCCCUGCACUUCGGGAUAAGCCUGGGAAACUGGGUCUAAUACCGGAUAGGAGCCAUUUUUAGUGUGAUGGUUGGAAAGUUUUUUCGAUGUAGGAUGAGCUCGCGGCCUAUCAGCUUGUUGGUGGGGUAAUGGCCUACCAAGGCGGCGACGGGUAGCCGGCCUGAGAGGGUGGACGGCCACAUUGGGACUGAGAUACGGCCCAGACUCCUACGGGAGGCAGCAGUGGGGAAUAUUGCACAAUGGGCGCAAGCCUGAUGCAGCGACGCCGCGUGGGGGAUGACGGCCUUCGGGUUGUAAACUCCUUUCGCUAGGGACGAAGCUUUUUGUGACGGUACCUAGAUAAGAAGCACCGGCUAACUACGUG
This 465-nucleotide ribosomal RNA is filed under the name uncultured bacterium. RNAcentral describes it as "partial 16S ribosomal RNA". It matches the Rfam family "Bacterial small subunit ribosomal RNA", at positions 28 to 507 of the family's 1533-position model. The record is from RNAcentral.